This 245-nucleotide ribosomal RNA is filed under the name uncultured bacterium. RNAcentral's name for it is "partial 16S ribosomal RNA". It matches the Rfam family "Bacterial small subunit ribosomal RNA", at positions 524 to 768 of the family's 1533-position model. The record is from RNAcentral.
UACGUAGGGUGCAAGCGUUAUUCGGAAUUACUGGGUGUAAAGGGAGUGUAGGCGGGAGAGUAAGUUAGAAGUGAAAUGCACUGGCUUAACCAGUGACGUGCUUUUAAUACUGCUUUUCUUGAGUAUUGGAGAGGUAAGUGGAAUUCCAGGUGUAGCGGUGGAAUGCGUAGAUAUCUGGAAGAACACCAGUUGCGAAGGCGGCUUACUGGCCAAAUACUGACGCUGAGGCUCGAAAGCUAGGGGAG